GACGAACGCUGGCGGCGUGCUUAACACAUGCAAGUCGAACGGGUCUGCCCUGUUUUUUGCGGGGUGGGUCAGUGGCGAACGGGUGAGUAACACGUGAGUAACCUGCCCCUCACUUCUGGAUAACCGCUUGAAAGGGUGGCUAAUACGGGGUGUUCUGGCUGUGCCGCAUGGUGUGGCUGGGAAAGAUUCACUUUUGUGGUGUUUUGGUGGGGGAUGGGCUCGCGGCCUAUCAGCUUGUUGGUGGGGUGGUGGCCUGCCAAGGCUUGGACGGGUAGCCGGCGUGAGAGGGUGGGCGGUCACAAUGGGACUGAGGUACGGCCCAGACUCCUGCGGGAGGCAGCAGUGGGGGGUAUUGCACAAUGGGCGGAAGCCUGAUGCAGCGACGUCGCGGGAGGGAUGGAGGCCUUCGGGUUGUGAACCUCUUUCGCCGGUGAAGAAGGUCCUGCUCUUUGUGGUGGGGUUGACGGUAGCCGGGUUAUGAAGCGCCGGCUAACUACGUG
RNAcentral lists this ribosomal RNA (500 nucleotides) under uncultured bacterium. RNAcentral's name for it is "partial 16S ribosomal RNA". It matches the Rfam family "Bacterial small subunit ribosomal RNA", at positions 28 to 507 of the family's 1533-position model. The record is from RNAcentral.